Molecule: ribosomal RNA, 309 nt
Filed under: Triticum aestivum (bread wheat)
Lineage: Eukaryota; Viridiplantae; Streptophyta; Magnoliopsida; Poales; Poaceae
Description: partial small subunit ribosomal RNA
Source: RNAcentral
AUGGCAAGCCGGAAGCUUAAGCAAUAUUUUCAGGGUCAUCCAAUCACUGUGGUCAGUUCUGCUCCUUUGGGGGAUAUAAUCCAAAACAGGGAAGCAACUGGCCGGUUUGCCAAGUGGGCCAUUGAGCUUGGAACUCAUGGGUUAAAAUAUAUGCCUCGAACGGCAAUCAAGUCCCAAGCGUUGGUGGAUUUCAUCAAUGACUGGACAGAGUUACACGCGCCAGAAGAGAAGCCGGAUCAUACUUAUUGGACUAUUCAUUUUGAUGGGUCCAAGCAGUUGGAGGGCUCGGGGGCUGGAGUCGUGUUAACU